Canis lupus familiaris (dog) is the source of this 89-nucleotide non-coding RNA. The record is from Rfam. NCBI's taxonomy places the organism in Eukaryota, Metazoa, Chordata, Mammalia, Carnivora, Canidae.
CGGGGGAGGCCGGAUCCUGGGCUGUGUCCAGGCGCCCUGUGUUCCAGGGCCUGUGCUGUUGGAUUCACGCUCCCGCCCCACAGCCCCCU